UGGAAGAGGCAAAAGCGGUCAAUUUUGUUCCGUGCCGUAGUGUGUUUUGUAAGUCGAGCAUAAGUUUGUUUAAGCUCAGUGUCGUUAAUCCUGUGAGAUUUAGUGUGCGUAGAUUCGAGUUUAUAAAGGUCCGUGGCAGCAUUAAAUUGGCGAAGCCGACACACUACACCAAUCCGAUAAGACCGUCUUUUGACCCCACGCAUCGGCUGCAAAGAUUCCCGGGGUACACUUGGCCGGAGAAGGUUGCGAACCGUCAAAAGCGCACCUUUGGCAGGCGAAGCCAAACCACCGAAACCACUCCAAUCAAUUUCAACGUUUUCCAACCGCAUAGCAGCAGAUCGCCGUUGUCGUCGUCGUCGUCAUCGUCAAGCAAGUGCCGACGGCGCCUCAACACUUUGCUUUGCGCGCCAGGACGGACGCUUGUACCGCGCCCAUGCGUAAGCCCGCGCACCGGAGGGAGUGAGUGACCACCACAUCGACGCAAUACG
This is a long non-coding RNA of Armigeres subalbatus, 488 nucleotides long. RefSeq lists it as uncharacterized. The record is from RefSeq and is a predicted model, not a curated record. The transcript has 3 exons. Lineage: Eukaryota; Metazoa; Arthropoda; Insecta; Diptera; Culicidae.